ACAGGUCCUGGAAACCAGAGCAGGUGACCAAGGAUAGAUAUCAUGGACACAUCUACAGUGAUAGGACUAUGAGUUACAGGAUAAAAUUAUAUUUCUUAGCAUUCAGAGAUAAUGAUAGUAAAAAGAGAUGGUGGUUAGAAAAUGUGAAUAUUCAAGUAGCAUUAAGGAGAAAAGUGGUGACUGGAAACAAUUACCAGACCUCUUGCAUGAAGAGAAAGGGGUGAAACACAAGAUCACAGGAAGGGCAACAGUUGCUUAAAUGCAAUGGUUAGAGGAAUUAUUAAAUAAUCCUUUAUGCUAACACUAAAAUCACCAAGAACUAUAGCGGGAAUUGUAUGGGAGACAGAACACCACAAGUGGUCCAUCUGGGAAAUAAAGGCAGGGCCAGCCCACUCAGCUCUUCUCAUCAUUUCACCAUGAGGAUGAACGGAGACUUUUAUCGCUUGGCAUCAAAACCAGUCAAGAUGUGAAAGGUUAUCAAUGGUGGACAUAGUUUAAGUGGAUGAGACAAAAUUUUCAGUCAAGGAAACAUUAGUGGGGAAUAAAAGUGGAAAUUCCUGUAAAUCGUUACUUUAUUAACAAUAACACCUUAAUUAUUUUUUGUCUAUGUUGCAUUUGGCAAUUUCAAAAUCAUUUCACUCUGCUUACCUCUGACCCUUACAGCAACUCUGCAGAGAGUUGGAGACAGUAUUAUUAUCAUGGGACAAGAAUGAGACGUUAAGAUUUUAAAAGUCUAGAUCGGAGACUUAGAACUAUUAAGCAAAUGACAAGUCCCAGAAAUACGAUACAGAUUGCUCACUAGAGCCUCUGAUAUAAUCAGCCCAAGAAGAACACCAAACCAAAAGGAGCCACUUAGUAGAAAGAUUGGACACCAACUCUACAAGAGACAAAGAAAAACAUUAACACAGGUCGGGGGAGGCCAGUACCAGAACUGAUUCAGGGUUGUGAAUAGAGGACCUUAGAGUAGCGGGACUUCAGCAAACUUUUUAUCUGAAGGUAUUUAGAAAUAAGUUUUUUGUCUGUCUGACAGGUAAAUAAAGGAAACACACAUGCUU
Molecule: long non-coding RNA, 1055 nt
Organism: Peromyscus californicus insignis
Lineage: Eukaryota; Metazoa; Chordata; Mammalia; Rodentia; Cricetidae
Exons: 2
Source: RefSeq, a predicted model, not a curated record